GUACAACGCCUAGGAGGACCACCAUGGGAUUUACGCAAUCGCUCAAUGCCCUCGUGAUCUGUGCAGCGUUCAUGUUUGUCGGCGCACUGCUUUUCAUCUAGCUGUGUAAAGCGCCGCCACGAUGGGAAAAGUUCAAUGACGGGAGCGUUUCGGCGCUCCCGUUUU
This 165-nucleotide small RNA is filed under the name Hoeflea phototrophica DFL-43. RNAcentral's name for it is "Rhizobiales sRNA Atu_C9". It matches the Rfam family "Rhizobiales sRNA Atu_C9". Lineage: Bacteria; Pseudomonadati; Pseudomonadota; Alphaproteobacteria; Hyphomicrobiales; Rhizobiaceae. The record is from Rfam by way of RNAcentral.